Molecule: transfer RNA, 68 nt
Filed under: Marmota monax (woodchuck)
Lineage: Eukaryota; Metazoa; Chordata; Mammalia; Rodentia; Sciuridae
Description: tRNA.Pro
Source: RNAcentral
GGAUUGUGGCUCAGCGGUAGAGCACUCGCCCAGGACGGGUGAGGCUCUGGGUUCGAACCUCAUCACCA